Molecule: ribosomal RNA, 253 nt
Filed under: uncultured bacterium
Lineage: Bacteria
Description: partial 16S ribosomal RNA
Rfam family: Bacterial small subunit ribosomal RNA
Source: RNAcentral
UACGGAGGGUGCAAGCGUUGCUCGGAAUUAUUGGGCGUAAAGGGUAGGUAGGUGGUCUCAUUUGUCUGGGGUGAAAGCCUUGAGCUUAACUCAAGAAGUGCCCCAGAGACGGUGAGACUGGAGUUCUGGAGAGGGUCGUGGAAUUCCCGGUGUAGCGGUGAAAUGCGCAGAUAUCAGGAGGAACACCGGUGGCGAAGGCGGUGGUCUGGGCCGGCACUGACGCUGAGGAGCGAAAGCGUGGGUAGCAAACAGG